RNAcentral lists this ribosomal RNA (274 nucleotides) under uncultured bacterium. RNAcentral describes it as "partial 16S ribosomal RNA". It matches the Rfam family "Bacterial small subunit ribosomal RNA", at positions 523 to 796 of the family's 1533-position model. The record is from RNAcentral.
AUACGGAGGGUGCGAGCGUUAAUCGGAAUUACUGGGCGUAAAGCGUACGUAGGCGGUUGGUUAAGUUAGAUGUGAAAGCCCCGGGCUUAACCUGGGAACUGCAUUUAAAACUGGCGAACUAGAGUUGAGUAGAGGGGAGUGGAAUUUCAGGUGUAGCGGUGAAAUGCGUAGAGAUCUGAAGGAACACCAGUGGCGAAGGCGACUCCCUGGACUCGAACUGACGCUGAGGUACGAAAGAGUGGGUAGCAAACGGGAUUAGAAACCCUAGUAGUCC